Molecule: ribosomal RNA, 1712 nt
Filed under: Mediterraneibacter gnavus
Lineage: Bacteria; Bacillati; Bacillota; Clostridia; Lachnospirales; Lachnospiraceae
Description: [Ruminococcus] gnavus partial 23S ribosomal RNA
Rfam family: Bacterial large subunit ribosomal RNA
Source: RNAcentral
CACUACCGAAGCUUAGGAAUUGAUGAAUGUCAAUUGGUAGAGGAGCAUUCUUACCGAGACGAAGCUGUACCGGAAGGAGCAGUGGAUUGGUAAGAAGAGAGAAUGCCGGAAUGAGUAGCGAGAGGAAGGUGAGAAUCCUUCCGGCCGAAUAUCUAAGGUUUCCAGAGUAAAGCUGAUCUGCUCUGGGUAAGUCGGGGCCUAAGGCGAGGUCGAAAGACGUAGUCGAUGGAUAACAGGUAAAGAUUCCUGUACUAUAUCAUAACAGAACUGUGGGGACGCAGACAGAGAGCAUAAGCCGGGAAUGGAAAAACCGGUACAAGCGAGGUAGGAGUGCAUCAGGCAAAUCCGGUGUACAAUCUGAAGACGUGAUGUGGGGCGUAAAGCCGGAAGUAUGUGAGCUGGCUGCCAAGAAAAGCCGCUAUUGUUUAUGAUAUACCCGUACCGUAAACCGACACAGGUGGAUGAGGAGAGAAUCCUAAGGCCGACGGGAGAAGCAUUGUUAAGGAACUCGGCAAAAUGACUCCGUAACUUCGGGAGAAGGAGUGCCAUGUAAAAGUGGCCGCAGAGAAUUGGCCCAAGCAACUGUUUAGCAAAAACACAGGUCUAUGCAAAACCGAAAGGUGAGGUAUAUGGGCUGACGCCUGCCCGGUGCUGGAAGGUUAAGGGGAGAGGUUAGCCGUAAGGCGAAGCUUUGAACUUAAGCCCCAGUAAACGGCGGCCGUAACUAUAACGGUCCUAAGGUAGCGAAAUUCCUUGUCGGGUAAGUUCCGACCCGCACGAAAGGCGUAAUGAUUUGGGCACUGUCUCAACAAUGCACCCGGUGAAAUUGAAAUACCAGUGAAGAUGCUGGUUACCUGCGCCAGGACGGAAAGACCCCAUGGAGCUUUACUCCAGCUUGAUACUGGGAUUCGAUAUUGCAUGUACAGGAUAGGUGGGAGACUUUGAACUCAUGACGCCAGUCGUGAGGGAGUCACUGUUGGGAUACCACCCUUGUAGUAUUGGAUUUCUAACCAGCAGCCGUGAACCGGCUGGGGGACAAUGUCAGGUGGGGAGUUUGACUGGGGCGGUCGCCUCCGAAAGGGUAUCGGAGGCGCUCAAAGGUUCCCUCAGAAUGGUUGGAAACCAUUCGAAGAGUGCAAAGGCAGAAGGGAGCUUGACUGCGACACCGACGGGUGGAGCAGGUACGAAAGUAGGACUUAGUGAUCCGGUGGUAUAAAGUGGGAUUGCCAUCGCUCAACGGAUAAAAGCUACCCUGGGGAUAACAGGCUUAUCACUCCCAAGAGUUCACAUCGACGGAGUGGUUUGGCACCUCGAUGUCGGCUCAUCGCAUCCUGGGGCUGAAGUAGGUCCCAAGGGUUGGGCUGUUCGCCCAUUAAAGCGGUACGCGAGCUGGGUUCAGAACGUCGUGAGACAGUUCGGUCCCUAUCCGGCGUGGGCGUAGGAUAUUUGAGAGGAGCUGCCCUUAGUACGAGAGGACCGGGGUGGACUGGCCGCUGGUGGAUCUGUUGUAUUACCAAAUGCAUGGCAGAGUAGCCAAGCCGGGACGGGAUAAACGCUGAAGGCAUCUAAGCGUGAAGCCCCCCUCAAGAUGAGAUAUCCCAUAACGUCAAGUUAGUAAGACCCCUUGAAGACGACGAGGUAGAUAGGGCAGAGGUGGAAGUGUGGUAACACAUGGAGCUGACUGUUACUAAUAGGUCGAGGGCAUAACCAAG